GAUGAACGCUGGCGGCGUGCCUAAUACAUGCCAGUCGAGCGAACGGACGAGAAGCUUGCUUCUCUGAUGUUAGCGGCGGACGGGUGAGUAACACGUGGAUAACCUACCUAUAAGACUGGGAUAACUUCGGGAAACCGGAGCUAAUACCGGAUAAUAUUUUGAACCGCAUGGUUCAAAAGUGAAAGACGGUCUUGCUGUCACUUAUAGAUGGAUCCGCGCUGCAUUAGCUAGUUGGUAAGGUAACGGCUUACCAAGGCAACGAUGCAUAGCCGACCUGAGAGGGUGAUCGGCCACACUGGAACUGAGACACGGUCCAGACCCCUACGGGAGGCAGCAGUAGGGAAUCUUCCGCAAUGGGCGAAAGCCUGAAGGAGCAACGCCGCGUGAGUGAUGAAGGUCUUCGGAUCGUAAAACUCUGUUAUUAGGGAAGAACAUAUGUGUAAGUAACUGUGCACAUCUUGACGGUACCUAAUCAGAAAGCCACGGCUAACUACGUG
Molecule: ribosomal RNA, 497 nt
Filed under: uncultured bacterium
Lineage: Bacteria
Description: partial 16S ribosomal RNA
Rfam family: Bacterial small subunit ribosomal RNA
Source: RNAcentral